RNAcentral lists this ribosomal RNA (441 nucleotides) under uncultured bacterium. Its description in RNAcentral is "partial 16S ribosomal RNA". It matches the Rfam family "Bacterial small subunit ribosomal RNA", at positions 338 to 795 of the family's 1533-position model. The record is from RNAcentral.
CCUACGGGAGGCAGCAGUGGGGAAUAUUGCACAAUGGGGGAAACCCUGAUGCAGCGACGCCGCGUGAGUGAAGAAGUAUUUCGGUAUGUAAAGCUCUAUCAGCAGGGAAGAAGAAAGACGGUACCUGACUAAGAAGCCCCGGCUAACUACGUGCCAGCAGCCGCGGUAAUACGUAGGGGGCAAGCGUUAUCCGGAUUUACUGGGUGGAAAGGGAGCGUAGACGGCUGUGCAAGUCUGAAGUGAAAGCCCAGGGCUCAACCCUGGUACUGCUUUGGAAAAUGUGGAGCUAGAGUGCUGGAGAGGUAAGUGGAAUUCCUAGUGUAGCGGUGAAAUGCGUAGAUAUUAGGAGGAACACCAGUGGCGAAGGCGGCUUACUGGACAGUAACUGACGUUGAGGCUCGAAAGCGUGGGGAGCAAACAGGAUUAGAUACCCCAGUAGUC